CAAUCCCACAGGAUUUAUAUAGAGGUCUUUCAAUCCCACAGGAUUUAUAUAGAGGUCUUUCAAUCCCACAGGAUUUAUAUAGAGGUCUUUCAAUCCCACAGGAUUUAUAUAGAGGUCUUUCAAUCCCACAGGAUUUAUGUAGAGGUCUUUCAAUCCCACAGGAUUUAUAUAGAGGUCUUUCAAUCCCACAGGAUUUAUAUAGAGGUCUUUCAAUCCCACAGGAUUUAUAUAGAGGUCUUUCAAUCCCACAGGAUUUAUAUAGAGGUCUUUCAAUCCCACAGGAUUUAUAUAGAGGUCUUUCAAUCCCACAGGAUUUAUGUAGAGGUCUUUCAAUCCCACAGGAUUUAUAUAGAGGUCUUUCAAUCUAGAACAGGAUUUAUAUAGAGGUCUUUCAAUCCCACAGGAUUUAUAUAGAGGUCUUUCAAUCCCACAGGAUUUAUAUAGAGGUCUUUCAAUCUAGAACAGGAUUUAUAUAGAGGUCUUUCAAUCCCACAGGAUUUAUAUAGAGGUCUUUCAAUCCAGAACAGGAUUUAUAUAGAGGUCUUUCAAUCCCACGUGGAAAAUGUAAUGUGGACAGCACAUCAGGGUCAGACUAACAUGUAUGCUUUUGAAGUAAACUAUCCCUAGUGACUGACCGUAGGGAUGUAGUAUGAACAUAUAGGACAAUACAAGGGACCUGUGGU
Long non-coding RNA from Oncorhynchus keta (chum salmon), 683 nucleotides. RefSeq lists it as uncharacterized. NCBI's taxonomy places the organism in Eukaryota, Metazoa, Chordata, Actinopteri, Salmoniformes, Salmonidae. The transcript has 3 exons. The record is from RefSeq and is a predicted model, not a curated record.